CUCACUCGCGCGUUAGGAGGCUCGGGUCGUUGUGGUGCGCCGUGUUCCCGCUUGCGUCAGGGACCUGCCCGACUCAGUGGAAGCGGGGAGAGGUGGUGAGAGAUGACCCCUGUUGAGGAUUUCAUUGGUGUCUGCCACAGGCCGCCAUGGCAUCAGAUGAAGGCAAACUUUUUGUUGGAGGGCUGAGUUUUGACACCAAUGAGCAGUCGCUGGAGCAGGUCUUCUCAAAGUACGGACAGAUCUCUGAAGUGGUGGUUGUGAAAGACAGGGAGACCCAGAGAUCUCGGGGAUUUGGGUUUGUCACCUUUGAGAACAUUGACGACGCUAAGGAUGCCAUGAUGGCCAUGAAUGGGAAGGUGAGGAUCAGGGUGCUGAGCGGGAGUCCCAUCUCGAGGAUGGGGCACCCACCCGCUAACCCGUCCCGCCCUCUGUCUCCAGUCUGUAGAUGGACGGCAGAUCCGAGUAGACCAGGCAGGCAAGUCGUCAGACAACCGAUCCCGUGGGUACCGUGGUGGCUCUGCCGGGGGCCGGGGCUUCUUCCGCGGGGGCCGAGGACGGGGCCGUGGGUUCUCUAGAGGAGGAGGGGACCGAGGCUAUGGGGGGAACCGGUUCGAGUCCAGGAGUGGGGGCUACGGAGGCUCCAGAGACUACUAUAGCAGCCGGAGUCAGAGUGGUGGCUACAGUGACCGGAGCUCGGGCGGGUCCUACAGAGACAGUUAUGACAGUUACGGUAAGUCACACUCCGAGGGCGCCACGCUGCUGUGGCCUGCGGUGGGAGCUCGGUUCACCUUGGUGCCCUCUCCAAGCACUUUAGGCUGGACACUCAGACCUUGUCACUGUGCUUGCCCAGAAGAGGCGCAUCUGUCCUCAGAGCCAUUUCUAUCGCAGGAUGCAAAAGCCAAAUGAGACUGACCAAAAAGGCAAGGGAGAGCGAGGGCCCGCUGGGCAGUCAGCUAGGUGCAUGUGUGGCCACAGGCCAGCCUCCCUCGGCUGUGGGGGGUGGUUGCUCCCCGGCCGCAGGCCGCGCCCUGGUCUGGCCUCUGGGGUGAAGCUGCCUCUCGUUGCUUCGGUGCCUUUACACUGUGCCUGCUUCUUGUCCUCAGCUACACACAACGAGUAAAAACCCUUCCUGCUCAAGAUCGUCCUUCCAAUGGCUGUGUGUUUAAAGAUUGUGGGAGCUUCGCUGAACGUUAAUGUGUAGUAAACGCACCUCCUUGUAUUCCCACUUUCGUAGUCAUUUCGGUUCUGAUCUUGUCAAACCCAGCCUGACCGCUUCUGACGCCGGGAUGGCCUCGUUACUAGACUUUUCUUUUUAAGGAAGUGCUGUUUUUUUUGAGGGGUUUCAAAACAUUUUGAAAAGCAUUUACUUUUUUGACCACGAGCCAUGAGUUUUCAAAAAAAUCGGGGGUUGUGUGGGUUUUUGGUUUUUGUUUUAGUUUUUGGUUGCGUUGCC
Molecule: small RNA, 1453 nt
Filed under: Pan troglodytes (chimpanzee)
Lineage: Eukaryota; Metazoa; Chordata; Mammalia; Primates; Hominidae
Description: retained intron
Source: RNAcentral